AACCUGCCCAAGAGAUCGGGAUAACACCUGGAAACAGAUGCUAAUACCGGAUAACAACAGAUGAUGCCUAUCAACUGUUUAAAAGAUGGUUCUGCUAUCACUCUUGGAUGGACCUGCGGUGCAUUAGCUAGUUGGUAGGGUAACGGCCUACCAAGGCGAUGAUGCAUAGCCAGUUGAGAGACUGAUCGGCCACAUUGGGACUGAGACACGGCCCAAACUCCUACGGGAGGCAGCAGUC
This 238-nucleotide ribosomal RNA is filed under the name uncultured Lactobacillus sp. RNAcentral describes it as "partial 16S ribosomal RNA". It matches the Rfam family "Bacterial small subunit ribosomal RNA", at positions 123 to 355 of the family's 1533-position model. Lineage: Bacteria; Bacillati; Bacillota; Bacilli; Lactobacillales; Lactobacillaceae. The record is from RNAcentral.